UCUAUUAAAAAAAAAAAAUUAAAAAUAACUAAAUAAAUAAACUCAUCCUCUCUUCUCCCUACCCCCAGUCUUCCUCAGGCACCAGUCUACGUUUCUAGUAAAAACUUGCUUGGCCACUUGUGUAGAAAGAGGAAUUAAUUUAAUAUUUGAAUACUCAGCUGACUGGUUCUCCAUGGGAGCAAGUAGCCAAGUAAAUAUCCAAGAGAGAACGAGGGAAGGGACAAAAUGGCACCAAGCCUGAAUUGUGAAGUCCUCUAUCAUCCUGCAACACCCUGGAUAUGCAAACCGAAUAUCCUCUCUCUUGCCCAAGAGUGGAUUGGCAGGAAGGGUGCAGGACCUAACCCAAUGACAAUGCUCGCAGGAGGAGCCCUCCAGAAGGCAACAGCUCCAAACCUCUUGGUACAAAGGAACUCUCUACGUUUAGUUCUCUCGACAACUACCUACUAUAAGAUGAAGUUUCCAGGAACUCAUGUGAUCAUGAGACUCUGCAGUCACUUCAGGGGGUCUUGUUGACUGGCUCGGGGGGCUGGUGUCAAGCCCAAGCAGAAGAGCCCUCAGAGCAAGCAGCCCUGCUUCUGUGGAUGCUGGAUGGCAUCAUCACCAGGCGGGUCCUUCAGAGUACUGGGAGCAGCAUGCAGCCCGAUAGAGUUGGCAAACGUGAAUCUACUAGAAGAUUGACAUGGAGAUCGACAACAGGAUGGUGGACCUCAUGGCCCACACGGCCUCUAAGGAAUAAGACCCCCAGACCACUAGCCCCAGCAAAAACACAAGAGGAAGAGAGAGGCCCUCAGCUGCUGGGGACAACUUAUCCACAUUCAUGGCAAUGUACUGAAGAAAUAUAUAUUGAGCACCAACUAUGAACCAGGCACCAGGACACACCAAGAACACAUUGUUCAUGAUGCAGAGAAGAAACACUUGCAUAACAACUAUAUAUUGUGGUAACUGUUCUACUAAAGAUUAAUGUGAAUUACCAGGAAAGCAGAAAGAAGGGAAUGACACGUCUGAGAAGUCUUCAUAAAAGUACAUUGCUAAAGGAUGACCAAAAUGUUCAAAGGUGAAAAUGACAAUUUCAGGCAAAGAGAACAAUUGAUGCAAAGGCAUGUAAUUACGACACAGCAUAGCAUGUCUAGAAAAGGACAAGAAGUUUGGUGUGGAGCAAUUAGGGGAGUGCAAGGAGAUGCAAAGAUACACAGCUGGAGAUAAAGUGGGUGCUGUGGAAAGUCUUCUAAGCCCUGCUAAUGAGUUUCAAAUUUAUUCACUAUGCAUUGAAAGCCAUUGAAAGGGGUUAAGCAAGAAAGAGACA
This 1303-nucleotide long non-coding RNA is filed under the name Homo sapiens (human). RNAcentral describes it as "HSALNT0376849". Lineage: Eukaryota; Metazoa; Chordata; Mammalia; Primates; Hominidae. The record is from RNAcentral.